GCUUCGCUGAGGAUCGUGGAAGACUACCACGUUGAUAGGCCAGGUGUGGAAGUGGGGCGACCCAUGAAGCUUACUGGUACUAAUAAUCCGAUCGGCUUGAUCGUUUCUCA
RNAcentral lists this ribosomal RNA (110 nucleotides) under Caulobacterales bacterium RIFCSPHIGHO2_01_FULL_70_19. RNAcentral describes it as "partial 23S ribosomal RNA". It matches the Rfam family "Bacterial large subunit ribosomal RNA", at positions 2822 to 2925 of the family's 2925-position model. The record is from RNAcentral. Lineage: Bacteria; Pseudomonadati; Pseudomonadota; Alphaproteobacteria; Caulobacterales.